AACGAACGCUGGCGGCGUGGAUAAGACAUGCAAGUCGAACGCUGAUUUCAGGGUAGCAAUAUUCUGAAGUCGGAGUGGCGCAAGGGUGCGUAACACGUGGGCAAUCUACCGUGAAGUUGGGGAUAACUUGCUGAAAGGCAAGCUAACACCGAAUGUGAAAAUUAUGAGGCAUCUCUAGAUUUUCAAAGUUGGGGACCGCAAGGCCUGACGCUUCACGAUGAGCCUGCGGCCUAUCAGCUAGUUGGUGAGGUAACGGCUCACCAAGGCUAAGACGGGUAGCUGGUCCGAGAGGACGACCAGCCUCACUGGAAC
This 312-nucleotide ribosomal RNA is filed under the name uncultured bacterium. RNAcentral's name for it is "bacterial SSU rRNA". It matches the Rfam family "Bacterial small subunit ribosomal RNA", at positions 29 to 319 of the family's 1533-position model. The record is from RNAcentral.